CUCUUUGUGCACCCGCCCACACGGUUUGCCGUGUUUUCACCCUUCUUUGUUCUCCACCGGUCUGGGCAGGGUCUGAGGACUCCGGAGAGCAAGGCAUGGGUCCGCCUCGUGCCGCAGGUUCCUGGCCCACGCCAGCCGUACCCAGUAGCACAAUGGGAUUUGAGGACACACGCCAGCUGCCUACACCUGAAGAAAGGGUGAGCUCUGAGGACUUCACAGGGGCCCCAUCCCCUCACCUAGAUGAGGGCUAACCUUGGAAUCCAGACAAAGGUGGAAGUGACCUAGAUGUGACCUGAAUGAGCUAAUCAUCUAAUGAGAGCCAGCCCUUUGUCCUGCCCACAUGAAGGGCUUUGCUGCUACGCACUGACAAGUUGGACGGCUUUUUAUUGCUUUGUUGCCAGUUAUCUGAACAUGAGAGGCUGUAAGGUGUAAUCUGCGAGCCCUGCGCCCAGACUGAACCAGGGCCUCCCUUGAACAUGAGUAUUAGACAAAUGAAAUAAGAACUUAUCUUGCCCAGACUAUAUAAUGGCUUGGAAAUGCAUAGUUUCCUGAACGAUCUCAAUAAAAUACUUUUAAAAGUACUUAAA
This is a long non-coding RNA of Mus musculus (house mouse), 587 nucleotides long. RefSeq annotates it as RIKEN cDNA 1110038B12 gene. The record is from RefSeq and is marked validated. The transcript is spliced from 5 exons. Lineage: Eukaryota; Metazoa; Chordata; Mammalia; Rodentia; Muridae.